RNAcentral lists this long non-coding RNA (1765 nucleotides) under Mytilus galloprovincialis (Mediterranean mussel). Lineage: Eukaryota; Metazoa; Mollusca; Bivalvia; Mytilida; Mytilidae. The record is from RNAcentral.
ACAAUUAUACAACAACCAAAUAACUACAAUACAGCACGGAUCAUUUAAAGACCUAUCAGCGCUUAUCGAGCUGUAUGUAUACAAUAUUUAAUUCAGAAAUAAUAGACAACAUAACCAAAGGUCAAUUUAACCCUUACUGACCCAGAAAGCUACAAAUAUCUUUUAACAAUACAAAAAUUAGAAGAUAUGGCAUGAUUGACAAUGAUACAACUCUCCAACAGACUCCUGAAUGACGUAGAUGUUAUCAAAUUUAUGUCAUUGUACAGCUUUUUACAAUAUUCGAAACUAAUACAUAAAACACAUCAUAAAAAACUAAAGACUGAGCAACAUGAACCCCACCACUAACUGAAGGUGAUUUCAGAUGCUCCAGAUGAGUAAGCAGAUCUUUCUCCAAAUAUGGCACUCGUCGUAUAGCGUAUUUUGCAUAAAUCCGUUAAUAAUUUUACGUCGGUAGAUCAAUUCACGAAAAGGGGGACGGGAUUGUAGUUACGACAAUUGGAACAUAUCCGCUAUAAUAAUAUUCAUAACGGUCAACCAACUCGUGAUGGCGUCCGUGAAAUUUACAAAGGGGUGAUUUCAUCUCAACACUUGUUACUCUUGGUUUUAUAGAUUUAUUGUUAUUAUCAAGCCUCUACCAAGGACAUAAUUAUAGGAAAAAUAAGCUCUGGAAUAUAUCUCAUGAACUGGAAGAUACAUACUACGUAUGCAGUCACUGCUGGAAUGUUGCUACAUAUGAAUGGAAAGUUCAUAAUUGGGAAGCACAAAUCAUCUCGAUCGUCGUAAAGUUUGGCCAAACUCAAACUUAAAAACGAACUGAUUUUUGUACAAAAUAAUACACAAAAAAGCAAAUAUACAAAAAAACAAACGAAAACCACUGCAUCUUCUGGGUCAUAACUGCAGACAAUUAACCCAGAAGAUGUAUGGUUGAAUCAUGUUAAAGGGCAACCAAUCUUCCCCUUACCCAAGAGAGUGGUACAAGGAUAAACUGAACCAAAAAAAAUACAAAUUCAUUUAUGGUCUACAGUGAUCGACAAGUACCAAUCAAUUACAGGCUCCUGACUUUAUAUAGGUACAUAUAGACAUAUUUACGGGUGUCCAAUUCUGCCCCCUAAUGUUGACAUUAGUGUAACAGAACAACAUAAGUUCAAACUAUUUAAAGAAAUUGCAAAAAAUAACAAAUAACGACAGCACUUACGACAACGUUUUUUUUUUUUUUUAACUUAAAAUGAAUAAAAGUCUUAACUACAUCAUUUCAAAUUUUGAUUCGGUAUUAAAAUAGUUCCAAUUGUAAAAAGACAGAUCAUCCUUAUAUAUUGGCCAGUGAUACAGAACAAGUAUUAUUUGUUUUUACAGAAGGUUGGAGAACAAUCAAAUUACUACAAUACCACAAGGAACGUUCGAAGAGAUGUCAGCGCUUAACUACUUGUAUGUUUACAUUUUUUUAGUAUUUUAUCCAGAUGUAAAAUGAAUCAUAUAUUAAGGAAUUAUUCAAGUCCUAUCAGCGCAAUAAUUAGUAGUAGAUAUUCAGAAGGUCCAUGCGACCACGAAUAAUUAAAAGCAAAUAAUAGUGUUAAAGGGUUUUGGUAAAAAAAGAAUUGGUAAUCCAUCUUUAUUCAGGAAAUUUUACUCUUAAUUCCAUCACCUUACCCAUAAUGAUAUCCAAGAGGUAAUCACACAUAUUUUUUUUCCAGAGAUUUGAGAGGAAACAAUUUGAUAUUUGUCAAGAAUGACACAUUUGAACAUAACAUUAACUUAAAACAUCUGU